RNAcentral lists this ribosomal RNA (271 nucleotides) under uncultured bacterium. RNAcentral's name for it is "partial small subunit ribosomal RNA". It matches the Rfam family "Bacterial small subunit ribosomal RNA", at positions 26 to 285 of the family's 1533-position model. The record is from RNAcentral.
AGAAUCAACGCUGGCGGCGUGCCUAACACAUGCAAGUCGAACGCGAAAGUGGAGCAAUCCAUAAGUAGAGUGGCGAACGGGUGAGUAACACGUGGGUGACCUACCCUCGAGUGGGGGAUAACAUCCCGAAAGGGUGCUAAUACCGCAUGACAUCCUGUCUUUGAACAGACGGACAUUAGAGCCGGGGAUCGCAAGACCUGGCGCUCGUGGAGGGGCCCGCGCCCGAUUAGCUAGUUGGUGAGGUAACGGCUCACCAAGGCUUCGAUCGGUA